UAAUCAUGUACAUUUAAUAACCAUAAGAAAACCAUGAACAAUUAUAUGCUGAUAAAUUCAACAAGCUACAAGAAAUGGACAACUUUCUAGUGGCACAGAGACCACCAAAAUGGAGUCAAAAAGAAAUGGAUAGUCUGAACAGACCAUCACUAGACAUGAAAAACUAUCUGGAAAAAACAAAACAAUCAAAAACAAAACCCCCCUGACAAACAAAAGUCCAGAACCAGAUGCCUUCACAGGAGAAUUCUACCAAAUAUGUAGAGAAGAAUUUGCAUUACUUUUUCUCAUACGCUGCCAAAAAACUGAUGAGGAGGGAACACCUCCCAAGACAGUCGAUAAACUCACCAUCACCUUGAUACUAAAACCAGACUAGGAUACCACAGAAAAACAAAAUUACAGUGCUCUAAUUUUAAUCUCUUCCAUGUAGGUAUCCAGUUGUCAUAGCACCACUUAUUGAAUAGACAAUCUUUAUUCCACUUUCUGUUCUAGCCUCCUUUGUCAUAGAUUAGUUGACCAUAGGUGUUUGGGUUUAUUUCUAGGCUCUCUAUCCCAUUCCAUUGAUCUCUCUCUCUGGUUUGGUGCCAAUACAAUACAGCUUUGAUAACUGUAGCCUUGUAGUAUACUCAGAAGUCUGGGCACUUGAUUCAUCCAUUUGUCUUUUUCUUUUUCAACAGUGCUUCUGGCAAUUUGAGGUCAUUUGCAUUUUCACACAUGUUUUUAAAUAUUUUGUUCUAAUUCUCUGAAGAAUGUUUCUGGUAAUUUCAUAAGGAUUGCACUGAAUCUGCAGAUUGCCUUGGGUAGUAUCAUCAUUUUGAUCCUAUUGAUGCUUCCAAUCCAAGAGUAUGGUGUCAUCUUCCCAUCUGUUUGUGUCAUCUCGGAGUUCUUUCAUUAGUAUCUUAGUUUUCAGAGUAUAGGUCUUUUGUCUCUUUAGUUAAGCUUCUUCCUAGGUAUUUUAUGCUUUUUGGUGCAAUGGUACAUGGGAUGGUUUCCCUACUUUCUCCUCACAUUUCAUUGUUAGUACAUAAAAAUGCAGUCAAUUUCUAUGACUGAAAACCCAAUGAAGCACUAAGGAAAAUCAACAGAUUAAGUAAAUGAUAAGACAAAUGAUAAUGAAGAUAAAACAAUCCAAAACCUAUUGGGGCACGGCAAAAGCAGCACUUAAAGGGAAGUUUACAGCAAUACAUUAUUAUCUCAGGAAUCAAGAAAAAGCACAUAAACAACCUAAAUUUACACCUAAAACAACUAAGAAGGGACAACAAAGGCCAAAACUGGCAGAAGGAAUAAAAUCAUAAAAGAUCAGAGCAGAGGUGUUCCCAGUGUGGUGAAGCAGAAACAAAUCCAAGUAAGAACCAUGAGGUUGCACGUUGGAUCCCUGGCCUCGAUCAGUGGGUUAAAGAUCCGAUGUUACCAUGAGCGGUGGUGUAAGUCACAUAUGCAGCUCGGAUCUGGGGUUGCUCUGGCUGUGGUGAAGGCCAGCAGCAACAGCUCUGAUUCGACCCCUAGCAUGGGAUCCUCCAUAUACCAGGGAUGUGGCCCUAAAAAAGAUUAAAAAAAAAAAAGGAUUAGAGCAGGAAUCAAGGAAACUGAGACAAAGAAAACAACAGAGAUUGAUGAAACCAAAAGGUGGUUCUUUGAGAGGAUCAACAAAAUUGAUAAACCUUUAGCCAGGUUCAUCAAGAAAUGAGAGAGGGUUCAAAGCAAUAAAAUUAGUAAUGUAAAAGAAGUUUCUACUCACACAACAGGAAUAAAUAGAAUGAUAAGUGACUCCUAUGAGCAAGGACAUGCACAUAAAAUGAACAAAGGGACAAGUUUGCAAGAAAUUCUUACAAAGAUCAACUGACCAAGACUGAAGCAGGAAGAAAUAGAAAAGAUGAACAGACCUUCAUCUUUUCGAAAAUUGAAGAUGUGAUCAAGCCCUAAAAUUGAAGAUGUGAUCAAAAACAUUGAAAAAAACAAAACUCAGAACUUGAUGGCUACACAGGCAAAUUCUCUCAAAUAUUCAGAGAAGCGAUAAUACCUACUCUUCUGAAACUCUUCCCAAAAAAGAGGAAGGAGUAAUCCCAAGGGCAUUCUAUAAGGCCACCAUCACCCUGAUACCCAAACCAGAACAAUGUACCACACAAAAGACAAUUACAAUUCACUAUCACUGAUAACCACAGAUGCAAAAAUCCUCAACAAAAUAAUAGCAAACUACAUCCACAUACAUUUCAAGGAUUAUACGGCAUGACUGAGUGUGAUAUAUCAAGGAGUCUUCAAUAGCCACAAAUCAGUAUGACACACCACAUCAACAACCUGAAAAAUGAACACAGUAUGAGCCUCUCAAUACAUGCAGAAAAAAGCUUGACAAAAUCCAACACUCAUUUCUGAUAAAAAGGCUCCAGGAAGUGGGCAUAUAUGGAUCCUAAUGCACCAUAAUAAAACACCCAUAUGACGAAGCCAAGGCGAACAUCACUCUCAAUGGUGGAAUACUGAAAGCCUUUCCACUAAGAUCAGGAAGAAGACAAGGUUGUCCACUUUCACUACUACUGUUCAACAUAGUUUUGGGAUGUCCUACAAUAGCAAUCAGAGAAGAAAAAGAAAUAUAAGGAAUCCAAAUUGAAAAAGAAGUGAAACUAGCAUGGUUUCCAGAUGACAAACUAUACCUAGAAAAUCCUAAAGACAUGACCAGAAAACUGUCAGAACUCACCAAUGAAUUUGGCAACGUUGCAACAUACAAUGUUUUCUUAUGUCAUACUUCCAAGGAAAGAGAAAUAAAAACAUCAACAGCAAAAAUGAGACCUAAUCAAACUUACAAGCCUUUGCAGAACAAAGCAAACCAUUUGAAAAAGGAUCAACAUUUGCUAGUCUUCUCUUGAGGAAACAGAGGAGGGGAAGGGUAUCUCUUUGAUAAAUGUUGAUAACAUUGAAUUUUUGCCAUAUCUUAUAAAACUACACAUCAUCAUUGAGGUCAGUAGGGAAAUGUAAAAGCUCAACAUGACUUUUUUGUUGUUGUUGUUGUUGCUGUUGUUACUAUCUCUUGGGCCACUCCCACGGCAUAUGGAGGUUGUGAUACAUAGGAAGUGACUGCCUACAUAUGAGGAAAAAUUAAAAUGAGCUGCCUGAUUCAAACCUGGAAAGCUGGAGGUCAGGACAAGAUGGUGGAGAAGCAGGACAUGGAACACACUUUCUCUGGCAAAUGGAUCAAAAAUACAUCCACAAUGAUCUCCACAGUGAUCACAGAACAUCUAUGGAAUGCUGUCAGAAGAUCUCUGACUUCCACAAGGGAAAGAAAAUCUCCAAAGACCUGGCUAUGAAAAAAGAAAAAGAGAGACACAGAAAAGACUCAGGAUGGCGGUAGCACCUCCACUGGGGAGAGCUGUGAAAGAUGAAAUGUUUUUGCACACAGGCAAAGCCCCUCACUGGAAGAGACCACCUGGGACAGAGAAGGAGUUUGGAGUCUCAGGAGAUUUAGCAACUGUUUACAGAGGGCAAACUGGAGGAAGACCUGUAGGGAUCCUUGAUACUCCUGCCCAGCACACCACAGCCAGAUAUGCUGAGCCUCUGAGGUGAGCCACAGAAGGGUGCUGAGACUCAGGCUGCCAAGGUCAAAUCCAGAGAGAAGACUGGGGUUGGUUGUGAGGAGACAAACUGAGACAGCUAGGGUAGAAUGCACCAUAAUCAAGGAUGGUCAGGAAAAAUCCUGGGCACACCAGUGAGGCCUGGCACAUUUGAUGGAUUGGACCCCUGGCCUGGGAACCCCCACAUGUCACCAGUGUGGCCAUAAAAUCCAAAGCAUAAACAAAAUAAAAAAAAACAAAACAAAAAAUCAUGGGAAGAACAAAAUAAGAAACUACAAAUAGACACACUCAUAUGAAAAAGCAAUUCAAAUACAACACUAAAAAGUCAGCAAAUCACAAGAGAAAGGAACAAGAGAAGAAAAAGAGACCAAAAAAAACAUAUCCAAAAUAAUUUAUAAAAUGGAAAUAAUACAUACACAUCGAUAUUCUCCUGAAUGCAAAUGGAUGAAAUGUUCCAACCAAAAGAUAUAGACUGGCUGAAUGGAUACAAAACCAGACCCAUCUAUGUGCUAUCACAAGAGACCAACUUCUGAAUUAGGGAUGCCUGCGGACUGAAAAUGAAGGAAUGAAAGAAGACAUUCUAUGCAAAGGAAAACCAAAAGAAAGCAGGAGGAGCAAAAAAGACUUAAAAAUUAAGAAUAUUACGAGGGACUAGAAGGACACUAUCCAAUGAUCAAGGGACAAAUCUAUAUAUGCAACCAACACAGAGGCACUGCAACAUAUAAGGUAAAUGUCCACAUUCAUAAAAUGAGAAAUCAAAAAUAACACAAUAGUGGGGGACUUCAGUGCCCCUCUUUCAGCAAUGGACAGAUCAUCCAGACAGAAGAGUCAAGAAACACAUGCAUUACAUGAUACCAUACACAAUAUAGUCUUAGUUUACACCUAUAGAACAUUUCAUCUGGGAGUUCCCGUCAUGGCACAGUGGCUAACGAAUCCGACUAGGAACCAUGAGGUUGCAGGUUCAAUCCCUGGCCUUGCUCAGUGGGUUAAUGAUCUCGCAUUGCCGUGAGCUGUGGUGUAGGUCGCAGAUGCGGCUCGGAUCCUGCGUUGCUGUGGCUCUGGCGUAGGCCGGUGGCUACGGCUCCAAUUUGACCCCUAGCCUGAGAACCUCCAUAUGCCGCUGGAGCGGCACAAGCAAUGGCAAAAACACACACACACAAAAAAAGAACGUUUCAUCUGAAAGCACAUGAAUACACUUUCUUCUCAGGUGCCCAGAAAAAAAUGUCCAGGAGAAUUCAUACCUUGGGCUACAAAUAAAGCCGCAGGAAAAUUCAAGAAAAUGGAAAUCAUAUCAAACAUUUUAUUUCACCACUACGUGAUGAGACAAGAAAUCAACUACAAGAGAGAGACUGCAACAAACAAACAAACAAACAAACAAAAUGUAACACAACUGAAACAUGU
This 4958-nucleotide long non-coding RNA is filed under the name Sus scrofa (pig). RNAcentral's name for it is "lncRNA (ENSSSCG00025012997.1)". The record is from RNAcentral. Lineage: Eukaryota; Metazoa; Chordata; Mammalia; Artiodactyla; Suidae.